Molecule: ribosomal RNA, 253 nt
Filed under: uncultured bacterium
Lineage: Bacteria
Description: partial 16S ribosomal RNA
Rfam family: Bacterial small subunit ribosomal RNA
Source: RNAcentral
UGCGUAGGUCCCGAGCGUUAUCCGGAUUUACUGGGUGUAAAGGGAGCGUAGGCGGCGCGUUAAGUCUGAUGUGAAAACCCGAGGCUCAACCACGGGAGUGCAUUGGAAACUGGCGGGCUGGAGUGCCGGAGAGGUAAGCGGAAUUCCUAGUGUAGCGGUGAAAUGCGUAGAUAUUAGGAGGAACACCAGUGGCGAAGGCGGCUUACUGGACGGCAACUGACGCUGAGGCUCGAAAGCGUGGGGAGCAAACAGG